GAGGGUAGAGCUCAGUGGUAGAGCACGUGCCUAGGACUCACGAGGUCUUGGCUUCAAUCCUCAGUACCUCCA
RNAcentral lists this transfer RNA (72 nucleotides) under Camelus bactrianus (Bactrian camel). It matches the Rfam family "tRNA". Rfam says of the family: Transfer RNA (tRNA) molecules are approximately 80 nucleotides in length. Their secondary structure includes four short double-helical elements and three loops (D, anti-codon, and T loops). Further hydrogen bonds mediate the characteristic L-shaped molecular structure. tRNAs have two regions of fundamental functional importance: the anti-codon, which is responsible for specific mRNA codon recognition, and the 3' end, to which the tRNAs corresponding amino acid is attached (by aminoacyl-tRNA synthetases). tRNAs cope with the degeneracy of the genetic code in two manners: having more than one tRNA (with a specific anti-codon) for a particular amino acid; and 'wobble' base-pairing, i.e. permitting non-standard base-pairing at the 3rd anti-codon position. RNAcentral also lists the same sequence under 2 other names. The record is from Rfam by way of RNAcentral. Lineage: Eukaryota; Metazoa; Chordata; Mammalia; Artiodactyla; Camelidae.